This 253-nucleotide ribosomal RNA is filed under the name uncultured bacterium. RNAcentral describes it as "partial 16S ribosomal RNA". It matches the Rfam family "Bacterial small subunit ribosomal RNA", at positions 524 to 776 of the family's 1533-position model. The record is from RNAcentral.
GACGAACCGUGCGAACGUUGUUCGGAUUCACUGGGCUUAAAGGGCGCGUAGGCGGGUUGUCAAGUCAGGGGUGAAAGCCUCCAGCUCAACUGGAGAAGUGCCUUUGAUACUGAUGAUCUUGAGGGAGGUAGGGGCAUGUGGAACUUCCGGUGGAGCGGUGAAAUGCGUAGAGAUCGGAAAGAACACCAACGGCGAAAGCACUCUGCUGGGCCGACACUGACACUGAGAGACGAAAGCUAGGGGAGCGAAUGGG